Molecule: long non-coding RNA, 2182 nt
Organism: Cydia splendana
Lineage: Eukaryota; Metazoa; Arthropoda; Insecta; Lepidoptera; Tortricidae
Exons: 3
Source: RefSeq, a predicted model, not a curated record
AUUCGAUUUAAGUACUCGAAACUCUAAGAUUAAGAUGUUGAGCGACGACAAUAUAGCCAUCGCUGUAGUAAGAGUGAGACAACGAUAUAAUUUAAGUUGUUACGUUCGGGAAUCGAUUUUAUUAGAUUGUUCAUUUGAACGAAGAUUUUUACACUAAGUUAACAUUUUUUAUGAAUACUGUGUUACUUAAUAAAGAAUUUAAACAAUAUUGUGGUUUUAUUAACGUGUUUUUGUUUUAUUAUUGUUAUGUUUUGCGUCUACGUUAAUUAUUUGAUAAGUUGGUUUUGGUCCGACGAGAAUUCUGUCUGUGGCCAAAUACCUAGAUGCCACUGUGCGUAUUGAAGUGGUUGCGAAAAAGAAUAAAAAGUUUGUCUUGUCUUGUCGUGUUUGGAAAAUAUUUAGCAAGUGCAAAGUGGCGUGUUAAUUGUGUUUUCGUAAGUAACUAAUUUAAAAGAAAGUGAGUGCUAAAGAGGAUACGACUGUUAAGGUAGCAAGAUGGAAGAAAUUCUUUCUACAGCGUUGCGCUCGCGACUAGAAAGACUAAAAGAAACUGUAAAAUUAACGGGUGAUUUACUGAACAAAGUCGAAACAGGAGUAGGAGUACAACAACAACAAUUAGUUGUAAAUAAAAUCGAUCUUAAGAGUAAAUUAGCUCAAUUUCAAGUACAAUUAGAUAAAUACGUGACCCACGUGCCAAACCCACAGAAAGAAUUUUAUCAAGAAUGUGAUGAACUACAAAUUCUAGCAGAGGACGCUAUGACGAAGAUGGAAAUAGUGCUCAAAAUUUAUUCCGAAGAGAACAACACCCAAAAUAAAACUAAACUACCCAAAUUAGACUUGGUCAAAUUCAAUGGAGACAUCUUGAAAUGGAAUUCAUUUUGGGACAGAUUUGUGGCCAGCGUAGAUAGUAAAAAUAUAGGGGACGUGGAGAAGCUAUCAUAUUUAGUAGGAUCUUUAGAGGGUCCGGCACUCCAAGCAAUUGAAGGCUUGGAGACGACUAACCAGAAUUAUGAGGUUGCAACUGUAAUUCUUAAAAAUAGGUUUGGGAAGAAAAAUAACGUAAUUGAUGCUCACAACAAAGCCCUAUUAAAUCUGGAAAGAGCCCAAUCUACUAUUGAGUGCCGAAAAAUAUUAAACAACAUAGAUACUCACCUACGGGUGUUAUCUGCAUACGGAGAAAACACCGAAGCAAGCUAUUUGCGAGGGAUUAUAUUAGAUAAGUUUCCAGAAACGGUAUUGUAUCAGGUUAAAAUUUUAAUUUCGGAAGAAGAAAGUACAGACAACAUAAAAAAAGCACUAGAUAAGGUAAUAACUGCUAUGGAAAGAAUAAACAUAUAAACACCACAAACGCUACAAACAUCAACGUCCGGAUCUACAUCAACAGCUGCUUCAACGUCAGGAUCUACAUCAACUCUACUUAAAGUUACAAGAGAAAGACCAGCAAAACGCAAGAGACUGUUUGACAGAACUAACACAUUUAAGUCUAAACGGCCGAAAAUCUCAUGCAUUUUCUGUGGCAAAACAGGACAUUACAAUGAUGAUUGUAAUGAAUAUAAAACAAUCAAAGAAAGGAUAAGUAGACUGCAACAAAGGUGCUUCUUAUGUUUCAAGAAUGGCCAUAGAGCCUCUAAAUGCUUCAGUAAAAGGAAGUGUCAUCACUGUAAUAAAUUACACAACAGAGCUUUGUGCCCGCAGAAAUCUAAGAAAGACUGCAGUAACACAGAUAGCGGGCCAGCACAACAAACACCUGACAUGUAGAUUACUUAUGGAUUGUGGGAGUAUGAGGUCAUACAUCACAAACAGAUUAGCAAAAGACCUUGAAAUAAAAAAGGACAAUGAAGUUGAUUUAAUUGUCUACACAUUUGGAUCCAAUAAACCUUAUACAAUUAAAAGUUCAUCAGCAGAAGUAACUGUUUUAACAAAGAGACAAAUUGAGAAGAAAAUAAAAGUAAAUAUUGUACCACAUAUAACGGAUCACGUCCCAGUCGUCAAAAUUGAUCAUCCCAAAAUAGAUAUUAGUGCGGAUGAUGAAUCGAUCGGUCAAAGAGUUGACUUGUUGAUUGGUAACGAUUUGUAUUUUUCGUUCCUCAGAAAGGACCUGUUAAAAAUAAAAGAUGAUUUAUAUUUGAUUGAUUCAGAUUUUGGUUGGCUGACUGGAGGCUUCGAUAGGGCUUUCAAUAAU